UCUGGUCUUUAGUUUAUGAUCCUUCUUGAUUUUACUUUAGCUUCUCUUUCCCAGGAGGUUCUGCCAUCUUUCUCCUCAUGCUGCUUCCUGGCACUCUGACUACCAUAUGUUAGCCCUUACUGAAUAAAAGGGAGGUGGUGUCUGGUGCCCAUAAAAUCAACUUCUUUGGCCCAACAGGGACAGAGCUUUUUUUGCUGUUCCGGAAGCUUCCCAGUAAGGGGAGUCAUUUUUCACAGCUGUUUUGGCUUGCUCCCUGAUAAAAGAGUUGUGGCUAUCCCUGAAGCAGAAUCCUUAAAGUCUGACCACAUUGAGGGAUGCAUUUUCCUUUCCUUGAGAAGUAAAUGCCUGGUCCAAGCAGCGGUUAGAGUCAGCUACCCUGGUUCCAGACAGUUUUUGGAGUGUACCCCCUCCCCCACACAGUCUUUUACAGAGCAGGUGGAGGACCUUCUAGGAUUCCUGAUUGGGUUCCAGUUGUUUGUAGACCUAGGAAUUUUCCACAACCUUGGACAAGGUGUUUUAAAAUAAGAUUCUUAGAAGGAGUUUAUAGACUCCCCCACACUGCCAAAGGGGUGCAGGACACACAAAACAAGGUGAAGAACCUCUGGU
RNAcentral lists this long non-coding RNA (606 nucleotides) under Monodelphis domestica (gray short-tailed opossum). Its description in RNAcentral is "lncRNA (ENSMODG00000037462.1)". The record is from RNAcentral. Lineage: Eukaryota; Metazoa; Chordata; Mammalia; Didelphimorphia; Didelphidae.